Molecule: ribosomal RNA, 426 nt
Filed under: Escherichia coli
Lineage: Bacteria; Pseudomonadati; Pseudomonadota; Gammaproteobacteria; Enterobacterales; Enterobacteriaceae
Description: bacterial SSU rRNA
Rfam family: Bacterial small subunit ribosomal RNA
Source: RNAcentral
AGCUAAUACCGCAUAACGUCGCAAGACCAAAGAGGGGGACCUUCGGGCCUCUUGCCAUCGGAUGUGCCCAGAUGGGAUUAGCUAGUAGGUGGGGUAACGGCUCACCUAGGCGACGAUCCCUAGCUGGUCUGAGAGGAUGACCAGCCACACUGGAACUGAGACACGGUCCAGACUCCUACGGGAGGCAGCAGUGGGGAAUAUUGCACAAUGGGCGCAAGCCUGAUGCAGCCAUGCCGCGUGUAUGAAGAAGGCCUUCGGGUUGUAAAGUACUUUCAGCGGGGAGGAAGGGAGUAAAGUUAAUACCUUUGCUCAUUGACGUUACCCGCAGAAGAAGCACCGGCUAACUCCGUGCCAGCAGCCGCGGUAAUACGGAGGGUGCAAGCGUUAAUCGGAAUUACUGGGCGUAAAGCGCACGCAGGCGGUUUG